This is a long non-coding RNA of Quercus lobata, 854 nucleotides long. RefSeq lists it as uncharacterized. Lineage: Eukaryota; Viridiplantae; Streptophyta; Magnoliopsida; Fagales; Fagaceae. The transcript is spliced from 4 exons. The record is from RefSeq and is a predicted model, not a curated record.
CUCAUUUAAAGGAGAUACUCCAGCCUCAUUUCAUUUUGUUUUUCCUCUGAAAAGGAGAUUGUGCUUCCCGUUACCCGUCAAAUUGGUGCCACUGUCAACCGUCAAAUUUUCCCCCUUUUAAAAAAAAAAAAAUUAUUUAUUAUGGCUUCGGCAGCGGACAGAAGCGUUGUGAGCUUCAAUGGCGGCGGCAAUGUAAGUUUGUCGUUGCAGGUCUGGGAUGCGUUAAGGAACGUGGAUUUCAGAACACCAAAAUCCAGUGAUUUCAUACAACGACAUACGUCGAGCAGCAAAGUUUCAACUCAAAUGCGGCCGUGAACUUAACGAUCAGAUUGAAGGCUUUAAUUUUGAAUGUUUUUUAUAGCCUACUGAACAGCUUAAAUACGGCUCUGGAUUUAGCCAUCAAAUUGAAGAAUUCAAUUUUGGAAGCUAUUUAUCACCGACUGAACGGUAAUGAAGCACUCUCUUUCAUUGAAGCAUUUCAUGCGCUUCUUGGUGACCUUGCCUUGUUUCCGACAACCUUAAUUGAUUUACACUUUCAAGUCUUGGGUGUCUCACCACUUCAUACACAUUUUGCUAUCGUCUUGCUUUUCUUCAUGGCUACAAUUGUCCGUCGCAUUGCAUAUAUGGAGAUAAAACUACGACCUCAAGACGCUGGGUAUCUUCCCAUAUUGAGUUUCAUUUGUCUGGUUUCUGAAAUUAUUGCUAUUGAGCUACUCUUCGCAAUAAUCAUCUCUCCCUUUUGGCUAUUUAUAGUUAAUUUAUGCCCAAUCUUGAUCCUAGGGGUACUGCGUCAUUUGUACCAACAAAUUUAUCAUUGUGUUUACUACACAACUAAUUUAGUACUCAACUCAGUA